ACACGCGCCGCGCCCAGCCCGGAGCGCGCAGGGGAGAGCCGGGCCUGCGGGGUGCGGCGGGCCAGGCCGGGGUGCAGAGCUUGGCUGUCUUCCGCGGAGAGCGAGAUCCCGUUUCAAAAUCGCAAAACUGUGGGGGAGGAUGAAGGCGAGACUUUCCCAAACCAUCCUGGGCACCAAAGAAGGUAGCGCCACUCAGUCUUCUUUGUUGUUCUCAAUGUAUCAAGCAAAACUAUUUCUAAGCCCACAUAUUCGUGUGUCAUAGUUCAGGGACACAGGUCAGCGACAAACUUCCAUGCUAUUACACCCAAAGAGAUUCUUUAGAGUGCAAAAUCACUCUGCACUCUGAAAGAUACCAGCCUUCCUCUUCUCAAAAUCUUUCGUGGAAUCAUAAUUUCUGUAGAAAUCCGCCUAUGCCUUGCCUGGUUCAGCCACAGCAAACUUACAGAGAGCUGCAACCCCAGGGAUACAACGAAUGCUUCAACAACGUGACGCGGCAGAAGCCUGGCCAGAAGGCCACACACCUGAGAGUUCGUCGAAGGGCUGGAAGCCGUGAGAGUGACAGUCCUCGAGACAGGGACUCGCUGUUACCCAGGAUGGAGUGCAGUGGCUAU
Molecule: long non-coding RNA, 611 nt
Filed under: Homo sapiens (human)
Lineage: Eukaryota; Metazoa; Chordata; Mammalia; Primates; Hominidae
Description: non-protein coding lnc-SETSIP-2:14
Source: RNAcentral